UGCUCAGACAUGCAAUCGAACGCGAAAGGCCCUUCGGGGGCCGAGUAGAGUGGCGCACGGGUGAGUAACACGUAGGUAAUUUGCCUUCGGGUGGGGAAUAACAGCUGGAAACGGCUGCUAAUACCGCAUAAUGCAGCGGCUCGACAUCGAGACAGUUGUUAAAGCGGGGGAUCGCAACACCUCGCGCCUGAAGAGAAGCCUGCGGCAGAUUAGCUAGUUGGUAGGGUAAUGGCCUACCAAGGCGACGAUCUGUAACCGGCCUGAGAGGGCGGUCGGUCACACUGACACUGACAUACGGGUCAGACUCCUACGGGAGGCAGCAGUCGGGAAUUUUGGGCCAAUGGGCGAAACCUGACCCAGCCAACGCCGCGUGAAGGAUGAAAUCCCUCGGGAUGUAAACUUCGCAAGACUGGGAAGAAUAAGUGCGGGCUAACACCACGCACGAUGGCGGUACCAUUUGCAAUCUCCGGCUAACUCCGUUCCAACAGCCGCGAUAAUACGGGGGGAGCAAGCGUUGUUCGGAUUUACUGGGCGUAAAGGGCGCGUAGGCGCCCACGACAAGUCACUUGUGAAAUCUCCGGGCUUAACUCGGAACGGUCCCCUGAUACUGUCGGGCUAGAGUGCAGAAGGGCCAACUGGAAUUCUCGGUGUAGCGGUGAAAUGCGUAGAUAUCGAGAGGAACACCUGCGCCGAAGCGGUUGCUGGCUGACACUGACGGUGAG
This 722-nucleotide ribosomal RNA is filed under the name uncultivated soil bacterium clone C127. RNAcentral's name for it is "bacterial SSU rRNA". It matches the Rfam family "Bacterial small subunit ribosomal RNA", at positions 45 to 750 of the family's 1533-position model. The record is from RNAcentral.